AGCAUGAAGUCAGACAAGAGA
RNAcentral lists this ribosomal RNA (21 nucleotides) under Symbiodinium sp. B2. Its description in RNAcentral is "partial 28S ribosomal RNA". The record is from RNAcentral. Lineage: Eukaryota; Dinophyceae; Suessiales; Symbiodiniaceae. RNAcentral also lists the same sequence under 2 other names.